Molecule: ribosomal RNA, 253 nt
Filed under: uncultured bacterium
Lineage: Bacteria
Description: partial 16S ribosomal RNA
Rfam family: Bacterial small subunit ribosomal RNA
Source: RNAcentral
UACAGAGGGGGCAAGCGUUGUUCGGAAUUACUGGGCGUAAAGGGCGCGUAGGCGGCCUUCUAAGUCGAACGUGAAAUCCCCGGGCUCAACCCGGGAACUGCGUCCGAUACUGGAGGGCUCGAAUCCGGGAGAGGGAUGUGGAAUUCCAGGUGUAGCGGUGAAAUGCGUAGAUAUCUGGAGGAACACCGGUGGCGAAGGCGGCAUCCUGGACCGGUAUUGACGCUGAGGCGCGAAAGCCAGGGGAGCAAACGGG